CCUGGACUGGUGUAAUGGUAACACGGCGGAUGACACUUCCGGGGGGCGCAGUUCCAGGUUCGAUUCCUGGGUCUGGGG
Molecule: transfer RNA, 78 nt
Filed under: Pochonia chlamydosporia 123
Lineage: Eukaryota; Fungi; Ascomycota; Sordariomycetes; Hypocreales; Clavicipitaceae
Description: tRNA-Cys (ACA) (tRNA-Cys-ACA-3-1)
Rfam family: tRNA
About the family: Transfer RNA (tRNA) molecules are approximately 80 nucleotides in length. Their secondary structure includes four short double-helical elements and three loops (D, anti-codon, and T loops).
Source: RNAcentral